GAAGCGAGGCACCCGGCACGGCGAAGCGGGCUCCAGGCCGAGUGGCCGUUGGCCGAUGCGCACCACACGUCACGCCGCCGAGCACAGCCUGGAACAAAGGUGUGAUGGCUUCCAUUUUGGACCAGGAAGGUGAAGGGCACACCCGAGGGCAGGAGGAGCAGCAAGCUGGAGGGUGCCGUGGAGCAGAAUCGCCACAGCCCUGACUACCUACCUCUGGAAUUUUCUGUGGGAACCUGUGGCAGAACAAUGCUGCCUGCUGCGGGGUCUAAGCAGCUCUUUGGACAUUCCUCAGUAAUUGUCCUUCGCUGAGUCGUGCUCACUGGUUUACAGGUCUCUCUAGCCUGGGAGCUCCUCCAGGGCUGCCGUGUAAGCAACUGCGUGCACGUGCCCUUCUCUGCGUUCCUCUCGGUCGGCUCGGUUUGGCACAGACAGAGCAGGCAUCCAGGAAACGUUUGCGGAGCUAAUUUCACAUAUGAAAUACUGAUAACUUUCCUUUAACCAAAAACUUCUCAGUGAAUGGUCAUCGCGUGUCCCAUUUCUUCACCCCGGGUCCUGACAGCACCCCCCUCCCCCAGUCUCAUUGGCACCUGCCUAAACAAUGAAAUGGCUUGAAAUAAAAAUGGGUCCUGUGGAAGUCUGGGAGCAGAAGCGAAGGCUGCUCUUAAAGGUUCUUCAUUCAAAUGUUGUAAACAAAACACGGAAACUUCAUGGAAUCCAGUUCAAGCUCUUGCAUGUAUAACAGGGAUUGGCUUCUCUCCUGAAGAGGCCGUUUUCUGAAUGUUGCUUAUAGCCAAGGACCUCACAUUUCUGUUUUGAACUUUUCCCCUUCUUCUGGACCAUUCAGAUAUUCUGAAAUGUCUCCAAAAUGAAUUUCUGACUCAGGCGCUGAGUCUGUAUGGCUCAUAAUGUCAAUGAAUCAGAAGAGCUAGGAAGUUACAGAAACCAGAACAGAGAGGCCCACUUCUUAUUAAUUUAAUCUUGUUUCCAGUUUGAUGAAUACAGUGGUCACUGGCCCAAAGACCCCUUCAUAGCAUCAGCAAAGGUGACUGCUUUAAUGGCAUUCCAUCGCUCUGAUGCUGUUAAAUUUGAGCAUACCCGUGGGAAGGUUGGAAACAUUAAUGCCUCUGGAAAUAUGUAUAACAUUAUCAAGAGCCGAGGAUUCUACACGUUGCAUGCGACUAUCAGGAAAACAAUCGAUGUAUGACCUGCAGAGUAGAUAUCCCGAGUGUAUUUAGUGGAGGUGACCUCAUAAAUGAAGAAGCAGGCAGUGAAGAACAUGUUGGUGGUCACCAGCAGCAUAGUUGGAUGAGGGAAGAUGGCCAUGUGCACUGGCCUGGUGUAGCUCCUCGUGGCCCCCAGUGACAUUUUGCUGGAAAAGGAUAAUCCACCAUUCUGCCCUGUCUGAGUUUCCAUUUGCUGCUUUGGACCUUCCUGUUGGGCUUCAGGCAGAGGCUGUGAUGGCAUCAGGAAGACUGGCCAGAAUGAUCGUAUAAAAAAUUUACACUGGCAUACCACUGUAACAUCUGUCAACAAAACGGCCUUGAACUGCAUAAAAAAACACAAGUAACUUUGUCUAUGGAAGUGACGCCCAGAUAAACACGCAAAGAAUUUCAGGUUGGGUGUGUCCUCAGCUCAACAUAAAAUGGACUAACGGAAGAAAAAUGGAAUAUUCUGAAACAAAAUAUCCAUGUGAAUGACUUUCCAAGGGGAAAAAUAUAAAGAACCUCUUCACCAGAAUUAGAAUAUUUCUUGGGCAUCAACACGGCAGACACACUGCUGCAAUGAAUCUCUUUGGAGAUGACAAUGUUAUAAGCAUCUUGAGAGCUUAAAACAGAAAACAUCAUACAAACUUGGCCAACAUAAGCAUGUGUCUCCAACCAAAACAACAUCGCAGUGAAAUUCUGGAAUUCAGACCGAAGCUGGAGCUGUACGGUGUCCUGUUUCAUCAAGCGGUAUCAUCCGUAGCUGAUUUCCCUUUGCUCAAAGAUUCCACUGGAGAGCUACCAACUAAAAUUCAAAUUGUCCCACAGAUAUAAGACAGGUCUUAUUCCUCAGUGAAUUCCAAUUCUGAAGGAACACGUCUUCCAUUGAUGAAGAAAGCAAGCAAGCCCUAAGCAGGAUCACCCAGGCAAUAGAGAUGGGACUUACGCAAUGUACAGUGAUGGCCACAGCUGUUUCUCGUUCAUGCUAGAACAACUCAUGACACUUUUUUUCUUGCACUGGAAAGGGAUAUUAAAAAAAACACACACACACAC
Long non-coding RNA from Leptonychotes weddellii (Weddell seal), 2255 nucleotides. RefSeq lists it as uncharacterized. The record is from RefSeq and is a predicted model, not a curated record. Lineage: Eukaryota; Metazoa; Chordata; Mammalia; Carnivora; Phocidae.